RNAcentral lists this ribosomal RNA (468 nucleotides) under uncultured bacterium. RNAcentral's name for it is "partial 16S ribosomal RNA". It matches the Rfam family "Bacterial small subunit ribosomal RNA", at positions 28 to 507 of the family's 1533-position model. The record is from RNAcentral.
GAUGAACGCUGGCGGCGUGCUUAACACAUGCAAGUCGAACGGAAAGGCCCAAGCUUGCUUGGGUACUCGAGUGGCGAACGGGUGAGUAACACGUGGGUGAUCUGCCCUGCACUUCGGGAUAAGCCUGGGAAACUGGGUCUAAUACCGGAUAGGACGAUGGUUUGGAUGCCAUUGUGGAAAGUUUUUUCGGUGUGGGAUGAGCUCGCGGCCUAUCAGCUUGUUGGUGGGGUAAUGGCCUACCAAGGCGUCGACGGGUAGCCGGCCUGAGAGGGUGUACGGCCACAUUGGGACUGAGAGACGGCCCAGAGUCCGACGGGAUGCAGAAGUGGGGAAUAUUGGACAAUGGGAGCAAGCGUGAGGCAGCGACGCCGCGUGGGGGAUGACGGCCUUCGGGUUGUAAAAUCCUUUCGCUAGGGACGAAGCGUUUUUGUGACGGUACCUGGAGAAGAAGCACCGGCUAACUACGUG